Musa acuminata AAA Group (dessert banana) is the source of this 2337-nucleotide long non-coding RNA. RefSeq lists it as uncharacterized. Lineage: Eukaryota; Viridiplantae; Streptophyta; Magnoliopsida; Zingiberales; Musaceae. The transcript has 2 exons. The record is from RefSeq and is a predicted model, not a curated record.
UGCAAGAAUCUGAAGUUAAUCCAAGUGCACCAGACAAACCCCAGCGCAGAAGAGAAAGAGAAAGAUCCCACAGAGGGGAGUGAAGAAAGCCAGUAGCUAGCUUUAUUUGUUGGCCCUCAAGCCCUGCAAGCUGGGAACCAAAACCUUCACAGUUUCUCCCCCUUCGUCUCUCUCCAAGCUCAAUCCCACAGCCAUGUCCAUGUCGAGAACCAGUUAAGCCCCUGCUAGGGUUUGCUCAGUUUGGGAAGGUGGGAUGGGGUUUCCCGCAGUGGGUGGUGAGUUUGCACCACAAAAAGUGCCUCCUUUGGGUGAUAUUUUAAUGCCUAUUUGCUUUUCAGUAAGGAAAUCCUCCUCCUCUUCCUCCUCCUCCAGGGCUAUAAAACUUCUACACCUCAACCUUAGUCCCUCAUCUUCUCCUCCACUUUCUCUUUACCUCUUUUUCUUCAGAGAUCAGGUGGCAUUGGGUUUGCAGAUCCAGUGGUGUUUCUUUGUAUCCAUGGGGAGAGUUUUAUGGGGCUUCAUUCUCGUUGAGAGGAAGAAGAGAUGACAAAGGGUUGUUCUCUCUACUCUCUUUCUUUCACCCAUGCAGAGAAGAAGAGGAGAUGUUGGGAAGAGUACAGGUGAAAUGGGUUGUGCCUGGCUCCCUGUAUGCCACACGUAUAGACCAAUCCUUGGAGUGAUUGGCUACUGUGGGUGGCGUGCAAGGAGCCAAGCAUGCCCCCUUCUCUCUCUCUCUCUCUCUCUCUCUCUCUCUCUCUCUCUCUCUCUCUAUGCAUGAUCUUGCAGUCAUUUUAUGUAAGAGAUCAUAUACUUUAAGUUUGAUCUCGAUGAAGGUUUCAUUCUUUUGCAGGUCUAGUCACCAACCUCACGACGGAGAGAGAGAGAGAGAGAGAGAGAGAGAGAGAGAGAGAGAGAGAGAGAGAGUCUAAGAAAGUGGGUCUCAGUUUCUUGCAUUACAUGAACAUGGAUGAAACCAAGGAAUCCACGACAUGGAUUUGGAUCCAGCAGCCUUGACAGUAAGGAUGCCAUCAUAUCUUCUCUUUGCUUACGUUGUGUGCUGGUCUGCACUAUGGAUUCCGUUCUUAUGCUUAGUCCAUUCUGUCUGCUAGAUCUCAGAUGUGUCAGUCCCUCCAAGUAGUCUUUCACUUCUACGGAUCUCCUUAAAGAACAACAACAUGAUCACGAGCAAGAAUGCUCUGUAACAUCUCAAAUCUCUCCCUUCUCUUUCUGGUCUUUCUGCUGAACUUGCUCAAAUGACGUCCGCAUCAUUCGCUGCAAGAGUUGGGAGCUCCCAUCUCCUCUCAUGCAGUCAGUUGAUCAUCACACCGACAUCUCCUACAGCCAGUGAUAUCAACAACAGCUUCGCUGUUCUCAACAACUCCUCCAUCCUACAACGAAGCCACAAUCGAGUUCAACGAUCAAACACGAGUUCAAAGCUCAAUUUGACGCCUCAAUCUGAAACCAUUCCGUUCCAAGUCUCUCUUCAGGUGUUCUUCGAGUGGUCUACUGCUGUUCGUUCUCUCUCAUUAUCUCUUGCAUGGUGGAGCACAGCAGCUCCCUCCGCUGGGUUGGAGGGGCUCCUAUACCACCAUACUUUUAUGCCUUGCUUUUGUUGGUGGCAGUGCAAGCAAGAAGAGAGCCCAAGUGUUUUGGCUCAGAGGGUUGCCAGCUUUCUACCCUUCCGAGGUCUGAGCAGCUUUGUGUGACAUCCAAAGGGAAUUUUCAAGGUUAGGGAAGGAAGCCCAUCCGUCAUCAAGUACUCCGAAACCCUAUUUCCCUGUCUCCAAGACAUACAUGUAAUAUAAUAUACACAACACACACACACACACACAUCUCCAUCACACGGUCUCUUCCUUCUUCUUCUUCUUGCUAAUCGAUCUGUCAUACUGCGAUUCUGCUCGUUCCCUCCACAUGCUUACACCAAAGCUUACAUACAAAUGGUGCAGAGAGAAUGGAGCAGCUCGACUGGACUACUCUCCUCAACUUGAGGUCACAUGCACAUCUUAAAGCACCGAGGAUCUCCAUGGACAGGGACUUCUCCUGCAGGAUCCAAGAUCUGAGGUCAAUAAUGUUCUGAUGAUGCAGUACAAGCUCCUCAGAUGGAAUAUAUUCCACAUGAUGCUUGAGGCUGUGAUGUACUUAGGAAGAUGCACAAGCAUUCUAUGAGUGUAACUACAUCAACAUGUAGAUUUCUCGGAAGAGGUCCAGCCGAGACCGUGUGAAGAUGAACAGAAAAACAUCAGUCAUCAAAGCAUCCUAAAGAAUUUUGGGAUAGCAUUUCGAUGCAUACCUUACAGCCGAUAUCACCUGAUUAAUCUAAUCUUAGAUUCUUUGUCA